Non-coding RNA from Macaca mulatta (Rhesus monkey), 416 nucleotides. Lineage: Eukaryota; Metazoa; Chordata; Mammalia; Primates; Cercopithecidae. The record is from RefSeq and is a predicted model, not a curated record.
CGAGGGAAACGCCCCCAUGAUUCAGUUACGUCCCACCUGGUCUCUCCCACACACGUGGGGAUUGUGAGGAUUACAAUUCAAGAGGAGAUUGGGAUAGGGACUCAAAGCCUAACCAUAUCACAGGGAGCACCUGAAGCCGGUGGGGAACUGAGAUAGGGAAAGGAAGAAGCCAGUCACAGCUGUUGUUGCCAUAGCCUCCCUGCAGUGCUGGUUCCUAAAGGAUGGGUAGGAAUUCUACAAGAGGAAAGGAAGGGGGAGGGCAGUCCAGAUGGAAGGAACAGUCCCAACAAAGGGGAAGACAACAAAGGACACACCAUCCUUGGUGAUGCUGAGAGGAAGGGAUGCCCUCACAAUAGCAACACUGUUUCAGAAGCUGUGGGAACUCAACCUAUUAAACUAAAUAGAAUUGGAAAUAU